CGCCAUUAAAGCUUUUCCUGCAUACAUUGAUGUUGCAGAUGGAUGAUGCUAAGGGCAAGAACUUCAACCACCAAGGAGAGAUUCAAGGGACAGCAUCAGUGCAUUUUUAGCUGCUUCUGCUCCCCCAGAGAAGCUACAUUUUCAUGGCUUGUUCAAACCAAAACCAGAGCUCUUUUUUUUUUCAUUUACCAUUUUUUCUCUCAUAUUUUUGGUUUUAUUUUUUUUUUC
Molecule: long non-coding RNA, 228 nt
Organism: Tarenaya hassleriana
Lineage: Eukaryota; Viridiplantae; Streptophyta; Magnoliopsida; Brassicales; Cleomaceae
Exons: 2
Source: RefSeq, a predicted model, not a curated record